Molecule: long non-coding RNA, 377 nt
Filed under: Elaeis guineensis (African oil palm)
Lineage: Eukaryota; Viridiplantae; Streptophyta; Magnoliopsida; Arecales; Arecaceae
Description: long non-coding RNA (EGUI_LNC050445)
Source: RNAcentral
GCUGCGGCCCUUGAUUCAUGCUCACCAUGAUUUCUCGCCAGCGGGAUCACCAGAGGCCGAGGUAAGCUUUCCUCCUCUUCCUCUCUUCUUUCUCCUUCUUCUCGUGCCUCUGUGCACGACUGUCGGUGAUGGGUUGUUGGGAAAUGUGUCCCAAAAAAAGUCAAUCGUCAAGCUGUUGAUGGUUGAGCAACCAAGUAUUGUAAUUGAUUUGUUAAUAAAUAAAAUAUAUUUGGCAUUUUCAUCAUAAGCUUUCAUCUUCUAAUGAACUCCGUUGUUAUGAUGAAGUCCUUAGGACUAUUUAAGUUCGAUAAAGAGAGGAUUUAUCAAUUAGUCCUUAAAACUGUUCAUGACCAAAUGAUAAGCUGUUAAUAAGGACG